RNAcentral lists this long non-coding RNA (747 nucleotides) under Elaeis guineensis (African oil palm). RNAcentral's name for it is "long non-coding RNA (EGUI_LNC040786)". The record is from RNAcentral. Lineage: Eukaryota; Viridiplantae; Streptophyta; Magnoliopsida; Arecales; Arecaceae.
CAGCGCUCUUCGCUUGCGGUCCAUUGCCCGCUUAUUUUUCCCUCCGUCUUCUUGGAGGUCGGUCGGCGAGCGAGCGUUUGGCUCCCAGGGCUUCUAGUGCUGCUCCUUUUUUUUCUCUCUUCUUGGCCUUCUUCUCUUUCAUCUUCUCCCACCCCUAUUCCACGAUAUCUUGGUCACGAACCAAGCAUAAUCUUCUUGGCUCUGGGUGAGUUCGUAAGGGCAUUCUUGCUACGUUGGUCUUUGUUAAAACCAACUCCCAUCUCUCCUCCUCUCCUCUGCCUGUCUUCUCUCUUCUUGAAUGGUAGGCGAGGCAGCUCUGGAGGGUCUGCUAUCCGCAGACAACCGAUCUGCAGCUAUCUCGAGACGGAAAUGUCGCCGGCCGGAGGAGCAGAGAGGGGAGGAUCCUUGGGUCCAUCGAUUCAAGAAUUCACCCAAGACUCCCGGUUUGCGUCUCCUAGUAUUAUCUUUCUUCUUGCUCUUCCAGAUGGGUAAAGGUCACGAUGUUUUGUCUCUUGCUGUCUUCUCUUUUGUUAAGUUUUUUUUUUUUUUUAUUGCUUGAGGCUGUGAUGAUUCCGGGCACAGGAUUAAUGACAUUGUGAAGUGGAAAAAGAUUAAUCCCGAUUAAUCUCAAACGGCAAAGCCAUCUUGGAUGGCCUGCUGCUAUUUGGCAGGCAACCGUUUGCUGCCGAUUUGAUUGAGUUGUAGGGAAUAUUCAAAGCAGCGGCACAAUGUUGGACUCAGCGGUGA